RNAcentral lists this small RNA (254 nucleotides) under Otolemur garnettii (small-eared galago). RNAcentral describes it as "Metazoan signal recognition particle RNA (ENSOGAG00000027430.1)". The record is from RNAcentral. Lineage: Eukaryota; Metazoa; Chordata; Mammalia; Primates; Galagidae.
GGCAAGAGAAUUGCCUAAGCCCAGGAGUUGGAGGUUGCUGUGAGCUAUGAUGCCACAGCACUCUUUCAAGGGCGAUAAAGUGAGACUGUGUCUCUUUUUUUUUUUUUGUUUGAGACAGAGCCUCAAGCUAUCCCCCCGGGUAGAGUACCUUGGCAUCACAGCUCACAGCAACCUCCAACUCCUGGGCUCAAGCGAGUCUCCUGCCUCAGUCUCCCAAGUAGCUGGGAACACAGGCGCCCACCACGACGCCCGGC